Molecule: unclassified non-coding RNA, 723 nt
Filed under: Hevea brasiliensis (rubber tree)
Lineage: Eukaryota; Viridiplantae; Streptophyta; Magnoliopsida; Malpighiales; Euphorbiaceae
Source: RNAcentral
CUUUGGCACUUAAUAUAUCAUAAUUCAUAAACUUUAAUUGAUUAAAUAAUUAUAUCCUUAAUCAGACUUCCAUCCAAAAUUGUCAUCAACUAACUGAUGUAUAUGUUCAUCAAGUGUCGUGGGGUCCAUAUUUUAAGAAUAAGUUAAUGUGGCAUGAAAUCCAACCCCUUGGAACACAUAUGAUAUGGUUGUGGAAAUCUUGUGUGGCAAAUGGCUAAGGGUAAGCAAAGCAUAAAGCAUUAUUUAGUUUAAACCAAAAAAUCGAACUAAACUACACAUCAAAUCCUUGUUGCACCACUAUACAUAGACAUGGCUGUGGGACCGAUGGUUCCUAUUUAGGGAGGGGGAGCGACCAGGACCGGGACCGGACUGACCUGCUAGAUCUGGUUCCUCACAAUUUCUGUCCUGGCCAGCCCGGUUCCCGUUCUGGUUUGUGCAUGGUUUGGUCUGGUUUGAUUCAAUUUUACUCUAAUAGAAAGUCAAUUAAAAUGCGUAAUUUUAUAUGGAAAUAGGCCUUUAAUUGAGGUCUUUAAUUAAAGCCUUUAAUUUAAAUAAUUAAAAUGGAAAUUGACUAAUCUUAAAAGUGACAUUUGAAUUUGAAAAUAGAAAAUAGAAGAUUAAAAAUGGAAAUUGGUUGUGCAAUUGUAGGAAAGACAGUUUAAUUGUGCAAGUAAGUCAAUUAAAAUGUACAAUUUUAGGAAAGACAAUUAAGAUUUUAAUGGC